Maylandia zebra (zebra mbuna) is the source of this 396-nucleotide non-coding RNA. NCBI's taxonomy places the organism in Eukaryota, Metazoa, Chordata, Actinopteri, Cichliformes, Cichlidae. The record is from RefSeq and is a predicted model, not a curated record.
GGUUUGUCAAAUAUCAGCUGUGAUUAUCUGGCAGCAGCACUGAAGUCCAACCCCUCCCAUCUGAGACAGCUGGAGCUGAGUAAUGACUCCUCUUCUUCAACUAAGAACAACCUGCAGGAUCCAGGAGUGAAGCAUCUGUGUGGUUUCCUGGAGAGUCCAGGAUGUAAACUUGAAACUCUGAGAUUGGAGAGCUGUGACUUGUCAGAGAUCAGCUGUGAUUAUCUGGAAGCAGUGCUGAAGCUCAACCCUUCGUUUCCCACAGAGGUGGACCUGAGAGACCACAAGCUGCAGGAUUCAGGAGUGAAGCAGCUGUGUGUUCUUCUGGAGAAUCCACAACAUCAAAUUGAAACUCUGAGAUUGAGGGACUGUGGUUUGUCAGAGAUCAGCUGUGAUUAU